Molecule: ribosomal RNA, 1505 nt
Filed under: Brassica napus (rape)
Lineage: Eukaryota; Viridiplantae; Streptophyta; Magnoliopsida; Brassicales; Brassicaceae
Description: bacterial SSU rRNA
Rfam family: Eukaryotic small subunit ribosomal RNA
Source: RNAcentral
AUUCCGAUUACUCAUCCCCUCUUCUACUAUGCAGGUAACCCAUAGGUAGGAAGCUUAGGGCGCAGCGGAACGGAUAGCGGCCGGUGUAGAUUGGAAGUGGCAUAAGCAUAAGCGGACUAUCUUUUGGAAUGUAUAAUUACAUUCUUUUCAUUUUGACACUAGGCCGUGAGCUCAAACUCUGAUAUUUUGUAUUGUAAUGUUUUGUAAAACGCUUUCUACCUAUUAUUAAUAAAAUGUAUGUUUAUAUUCGUAGUUGUGUGUUAAAUGAUACUAGACCUUGUCCGGGUCGACACAACUCGAUGAUUGAGGUACGGGUUGUGAAGCCUUAGGCCAUGACAUCAAGGUCAUAGCAAACUGGAACGGAUUGGUCGAGAGUCUUGACUUGUUCUUGAUUCUUGGUCGAACAGGUACGGUGAGCUAUACUUGUGGCGCUCCCAGGACGUACCGGGUUAGUCCGGCCUGGUACGGUCCGGGGGUGUUACAGUCGGGGGCAUUCGUAUUUCAUAGUCAAAGGUGAAAUUCUUGGAUUUAUGAAAGGGGAACAACUGCGAAAGCAUUUGCCAAUGAUGUUUUCAUUAAUCAAGAACGAAAGUUGGGGGCUCGAAGACUAUCAGAUACCGUCCUAGUCUCAACCAUAAACGAUGCCGACCAGGGAUCAGCGGAUGUUGCUUUUAGGACUCUGCUGGCACCUUAUGAGAAAUCAAAGUUUUUGGGUUUCGGGGGGAGUGUGGUUAAACGAUGCCGACCAGGGAUCAGCGGAUGUUGCUUUUAGGACUCCGCUGGCACCUUAUGAGAAAUCAAAGUUUUUGGGUUCCGGGGGGAGUAUGGUCGCAAGGCUGAAACUUAAAGGAAUUGACGGAAGGGCACCACCAGGAGUGGAGCCUGCGGCUUAAUUUGACUCAACACGGGGAAACUUACCAGGUCCAGACAUAGUAAGGAUUGACAGACUGAGAGCUCUUUCUUGAUUCUAUGGGUUGUGGUGCAUGGCCGUUCUUAGUUGGUGGAGCGAUUUGUCCGGUUAAUUCUGUUAACGAACGAGACUUCAGCCUGCUAACUAGCUACGUGGAGGCAUCCCUUCACGGCCGGCUUCUUAGAGGGACUAUGGCCGUUUAGGACAAGGAAGUUUGAGGCAAUAACAGGUCUGUGAUUCCCUUAGAUAUUCUGGGCCGCACGCGCGCUACACUGAUGUAUUCAACGAGUUCACACCUUGGCCGACAGGCCCGGGUAAUCUUUGAAAUUUCAUCCUGAUGGGGAUAGAUCAUUGCAAUUGUUGGUCUUCAACGAGGAAUUCCUAGUAAGAGCGAGUCAUCAGCUCGCGUUGACUACGUCCCUGCCCUUUGUACACAACGCCCAUCGCUCCUACCGAUUGACUGAUCCGGUGAAGUGUUCGGAUCGCGGCGACGUGGGUGGUUUGCCGUAUGCGACGUCGCGGGAAGUACACUAAACCUUUUCAUUUAGAGGAAGGAGAAGUCGUAACAAGGUUUCCAUAGGUGAACCUGCAGAAG